This 225-nucleotide non-coding RNA is filed under the name Polaribacter sp. The record is from RNAcentral. Lineage: Bacteria; Pseudomonadati; Bacteroidota; Flavobacteriia; Flavobacteriales; Flavobacteriaceae.
UAUAUUUGCCCCGAUUUUGGUUUUGAUGUAGAAGUCAUUUUACAUCCAAUUAAAAGGGAAUCUGGUUAAACUCCAGAGCUGUUCCCGCAACUGUAAGUUUAUGCUGAAAUUUAUUCAGCACCUCUUUAGAGGAUGUUACUUAAACUUUUGUCACUGAUAAAUUUAUUGGGAAGGCAAAGUAACAUAAGAACAAGUCAGGAGACCUGCCUAAGUCACGUGUAAAAA